GUGAAUCAUCGAAUUUUUGAACGCAAAUUGCACUCUCCGAUAUUCCAGAGAGGAUGCCUGUUUGAGGGUCAGUUGAAAUAAAAAUCGGUGUGGGGGCUGGCGUGCGUGGUGACGCAUCGGAGGUGGGUCGUCUUGCCUUCGGUUAAGUGACCGAAAAUGUUGGAGGGGUUGUUUCGAACGUAGUUAAAUGAUUGUACGUACGGUUGCGAGAUCGAAUACUAGGUGUGGGCAUCCUCAUGAUUCGGGCAGAUAAUUUUGCAGCA
This 263-nucleotide unclassified non-coding RNA is filed under the name Glomus sp. Its description in RNAcentral is "partial contains 5.8S ribosomal RNA and internal transcribed spacer 2". The stretch from base 1 to 71 matches the Rfam family "5.8S ribosomal RNA", at positions 84 to 154 of the family's 154-position model. Lineage: Eukaryota; Fungi; Glomeromycota; Glomeromycetes; Glomerales; Glomeraceae. The record is from RNAcentral.